RNAcentral lists this long non-coding RNA (537 nucleotides) under Felis catus (domestic cat). RNAcentral's name for it is "lncRNA (ENSFCAG00000040902.2)". The record is from RNAcentral. Lineage: Eukaryota; Metazoa; Chordata; Mammalia; Carnivora; Felidae.
UAUAAUAAGCUCGCAAUACAUGUCACUUAUUUUAUUAGGUGGUAGUACCAAUAAGAAUAGUAGUAAGCUGCAUCUAUUGUUUUCACACCUUAGAAUUUCUCUAUGAACGGAAACAUCUGUAAUACCUGCACUGAGAAAAAUCCCACUAACAAAUUCAUGCCCUGAAGCUGAGUUUCUGCUAAACAGUUUAUUUAAUGCUUUUAUUAAAACCAAAACAGAAAUCAGGACAAGGACAUCUCCUCUGCCAAUUCCUUUUGGAAAAAAAUUAUUAUCCUUUAAAUUGCUUCUAGAAGGCCUGACUGAACAGGGAGUUCAGCUGAAGUCCAUAAUAUUUAGGAGAUAAUUUGCUACUCAGUCUGGACCCUCAUAGUGAAUUAUGUCUGCCUAUCAACUUUGCAAUUACAGACCCACAAUUUUAUCAACCCACCUAUGAAUGAAUGUACUCUCAAGGUACUAAUUCUUAUAUCAAUGCAUGUAUUCAAAAUGGGACCUAAUUCCAGCAUGGUAAAUAAGUAUUUUUGUUCAUAGCACUCCCUU